This is a non-coding RNA of Miniopterus natalensis, 2210 nucleotides long. The record is from RefSeq and is a predicted model, not a curated record. Lineage: Eukaryota; Metazoa; Chordata; Mammalia; Chiroptera; Miniopteridae.
UCCCGCGAAGGCGGCCCCGGACGAGCCCCGUCCCCCUCCCGAAUGCUACGUUUCCUUGAAACUUUCCACGGUUGGCGACUACUCAGCUGUGAAGUGUUUUGGAAAAAGUGAGCAAAAUCCCCUCAGCUAUGCGACCGGGCCGCGUGGAAGGCCCGCGCUCGGAGCGGCGGAGAGGGCAAGUUCCAGAACGCGGCGCUCUCCUUCCUCGAAAGUCGCUUUGUAAACGUACAGUAUGUCAAAUAAAUAUUUUUUUGAACAGCAGUGAUUCCCUCAACACUAGUUUGCUUGAGAGAAAAAUACACUUUCCUGUUUUCAAAGCUGCUUCAUCGCGUUAAAAUGGAAGCAUCCGAGUAGUGGUUCUCUCCGCCGUUCCGGCCGGUGUCGCUUUGCCCGUCUGUCCUUUUGGACUUGUGGGGAAAGGGCCAAGGAUCUGACCAUCUCUGAGGUUUUCUCCGAGCCUACAGAUACAUUCCACGCAACGAUUAAAAAAAAGUUACGAGAGGAUUUCUUGGAACAGAACAGCAUGUUCCACAAAGGGGAUGCUCCUUCAUCUAGGUCCCAGAACGUUUGAACAAAUCUGAAGAUGACUUUGACUAACCAAUAACAUGAAGAAAAAUAAACCUUACUCAUCUGAAAUUUCUCAUAUUUUUAAACCCUGAAAAAGAAAAUUGAGCCUGGACUUUUGCCUAUUUAUGUUCAUCCAAAGGGCAAGAAGAAAAGCCAAGUUUCUACAGAGGAGCAGGGGAAGGACGAGACCCACUGAAUAAAUGCCUUCUCCCUGGAAGAGCUUAUGGAGACAGCAGAUAUGAACUACCUCUUUCUAGUCUUCACCUUUCUGACAGUGACCGAUUUCUUGAGAUAGACAUUGCUUCGUCAAACGAUGAGGGUUUCACAAGCAAGACGGGGGACUUAAAAGCGUUGCUUACUGUCCAACACCCAAAUUUUUCCCGGGACUCUUCUGAGCAUGACCUCAUGCUCAUCAAGCUGACACAUCCCCUAAAGCUCAAUAAUGAGGUGAGGCUGGUCGUUCUGCCCAAUACUACAGAUGACAGAAGAGAGGACAAGUGCACUGUUUCUGGCUGGGGCUGGACAUGGCAGAAUUACAACACAGAACCUGAUGUCCAGGUAAACCAGACUGUCUUUUGGUUCUCUAACAAAAACUGCCAAGAGUCUCCUAUAAGGAAAACUCCUGUUAAAAUCACAGAGAACAUGUUCUGUGCAGGAUCAUCUCUGGAGAGCACACACUCAUGUAAGGUAACUCUUUUCCCUCUGUUCCUCCUAAGUUUUGUCUGAGACACUGUUUUGGGGUCCACAUAUUUUUCCAUAAUCCAACCCAGUUUCUUGCCUCUACAUCCAAGAAGAGAUCAAGGUAAGUGGGGACCAAGAAGGAAUAAGUGUCCUCCUUAUAAUCACAUAUGAAUUUAGAUGUCAGGGUGGACACAUCUCAGAGUGUUCUCAUUUCUUUAGGGCUUCCUCUGAUGUGGCCUUGGGAGAGGGGUGGGAUGGGCCCAAGAUGGCCAUCACACAUUUCUCCCAGUCCUUAUUACCUAAAUCUUUCUGUUCUGGGCCCCUCAGAUAGGGACUUGGUACUAGAUUAUCUUUGUUUUAGCAACAAUGCCUGACCCAUCUCUCCUUUUUAUAAUAGGAAAUGGAUGCUGCCCCAAUCCUGUGCGACAAUCAGCUCCAAGGGAUUCACUCCUGGUCAAAUGGGUGUAUUCUGAGAGGUGACAUUGGCUACUACACCAAGGUUUCCCGCUAUACAGACUGGAUUCUCAGAGUCAUCCAUUCCAACUGAGCUCUCAUCCCUCUCCCAGCAGCCUCAGAACUGGUCUACCAUCUCUGACCUUUCCUUUCCCUCUAGUCUCAGAACAAGAUGGGCAUGAGUCUUUGGCUGUAAGAAGUUUUCUGUUCCUUCUGUUCUCUUGACUUCUCUUAUCCUUUCUCAGCCCCAGCUGGAAUGAUUAUCAAAGGAGUUGAGCUGGAUAGUAUUCUCCUAAAUGGGAUAACUUCUCACCACUCCCUUCCUCUCCUCCAGUUUCCUACUUACCUACCAUAGUUUCCUCAGACUUUUCUGGAGCUGUUCUCCCCCCACCCCCACCCUCCAGAGAAAAUAUGGGCCCCAGGAACAUGACAGUGAGAUUGUGGGCACCUCUAUGGUGAGUCCUUUUUUUUUUUAAAUGUCUUUACUGAUUUCAGAAAGAGGAGGGGAG